UGGAGGCCCCAAGAGUUAGGGGUUUAAAUUUGAUGUGUAUUGAAUUCACAAACAUUUAUUGAGUAUCUACUGUGUGUCAGGUACUGUGAAAUUGUGCAGGACAUUCACAGAUGAACAAGUCACAGGGCAAGUUGGACACAUCAAUAGCUCAUGCGUUGAUGUGGACCUAUGAUGGCUUCAGAGACUAUUAACUUGGCCAGGCUCAACUGCAUUUCCUGGAAUUAUCUUUCCUGCAUGUUUGCAGUUCAGAUGGACCACAGGGAAGAUUCUUGGAAGGUUCUUGCAAGAUUCAGAAGGCAAGAGAGGCUGCAGCCGUGUUUUGCAGUUGACACACGUUGCUGCUGAUCUGCUGACUCACCUCACUGGAGUGAAGCAGCCUGCCACAACACCCGCAACCUUCCCCGGCAACUUCUUGCUACUUUUCGACUCCCAGCCGCGUGUAUGUGUUCAGCUCUGUGAUGAAGGGCUAGGCUUCUGCAGGACAGCCUCACCACUGUGGUCAGAGGCAACAAGAAUAGCCACGGGCUUCAGGCUGCCAUCCUGGGGCUCUAGCUUGUGCUCGUGGGUUCUUGCUCUCCCUACUUGACAUCUGCCUUUCCUCUCGACUGCCUAUCCUGUGGACCUGACACCAGCAUCAGACUUGACACGCAGCCUGACAAAGACUGCUUACCCGGUUCCCACAAAUGCAUAAGCCAAUUCUCCAUAACAAAUCCCAUAAAAUAAUUUACAUGUAUAUAACUCCUAUUUCCACUUUUCCAGUUGAACUCCGGCAGAUUUACCCAUCCUGUGCUAGGCACUGUUGAGGACUCUGAGGAUACAAUGAUGAACAAAACCAGUGUAAUUCCUGUCUUCCUCUCCCCCACCCCACCAUUCACUUUCUAGGAGGAGGAAUCAGAAAAUAAACAACGAAUAAACAAUGCAAUCCCAGAGAGUGAUAAAUGCCAGGAGAAAACCAAAAAGAGUGGCCUGCUCGGACCAGGGGUAGUCCAGGGAUGCUUCUCAGAACAAAUGGCAUUUGAGCUGAGCCCUGAAGGGAAGGAGGGGACAGCUAUGCAGGAGCACUCUGGACAAGACGCACUUCAGGGCGAUGCUCCUAGGUGGCAUGAGCCUGGAGUCUUCGAGGAACAGAAAGGAGCCAGGCGGACCGGAGGGCCUUGAGGAGGGAGAGUGCGCAGGGUAAGCUGGAACCCAAGGCUGGCUCCAACUUUGUUGGGCUUGGAAGACAAAGCAGGGAGUUCGGAUUUUACUCUAAGAGCAUCCUGGAGUUAAGGGAUCUUUCAAAGCUGGCUGAGUGAAAGCCCACACACAACUUUGCCUUUGAAAAGUGGGGAUAAAAUGUGGUCUUGCUCUGUGUGUGUGUGUGUGCGUUGGGGUGGGGGGCGAUUUGUGUCUUGGUUUUUGCCUCGGCGUGACUUACAGACCUUUCCAUCCUGCAUCGGUGCCGGGAGAGCCCAGCUCCCUGCUGCUGUCACCAGAAUUCCAUCUUUCCAAGGAAAUCAGGCUUUCUCCUGCUAAGGAGUUCUGUCCAGGACUCUGAUAAAAGCAGUAUGUGAAGCUAAAUAACUCGUGUGAUUUUACACUUCAUUUCCUUGGGAUGCCAUUAGGAACAUCAAGCACUUCUGUCUUUAUUUGACACGAUUUCCUACCCUGUUCUGCCUUGGAACAGAAGAAAAAUGAAAAGAGAGAAAUGGUAUUGGGAAGUUGCAUUGGGAGUGGUAGGGCAGCUGUUUCAAGGCAGGGCUUUUGGAGUCCAGCAGAGGGAGAGGCUUCCGAAACAGGACAGAUGGCAGCCACCUUCCUAAGGGGUCACUGGUCAGCCUCACGUUCUCUGGCUCCUGUUCCAAGCCUCAGCAUUUCUGUCUAAUUGAUUUAGAAAUAGUGUAUUUAUUGGACAGAUGCCUAGAGAUCAUGUAGCCCAGAGAAGGGAAGCUGUUUGCCCAAGGUCACACAGCAGCUCAGUAGCAUAGUUUGGCCUUGCAGCUAGCUCUUUCGACUGCCAGAGCAGCCUGGAGCACCCCUUAGAGAAGAGUUAGUGUCUUCCCCAGGUCCCCUAUAAAGACCAGCACCUCCUGCAUUUGGUUCUCUGGGACAAUUGGUGUCUUUUCUCACUGUGGAGAUGUGAUCACUUAGAUCUUCAUUUAGUUCACAAGCAGGGGUGGAGCAGGGUGGGGUGCACAGGCUGGAGGGAACCAACGCAGGAAGCAUAUGACAGAGUAAAAACACAGCCCACCCGGCAUGCCGUGCCAUGUGCCCUCACUGCAUUGGAUGAAUGGGUCAGUAGGUGGAUGGUGGUCACACGUGAGUGCUGGCUUCACUCUCUUCUCUCCCAUAAUUUAAAGACCUGAAGUUUCACCUCCAGGAAGACUUCCUGGACUAGUGGAAGAUCAAUCUUUGGCCUGAACCGGUUGCCUAGGCAACUUCCACUGUUUCUGGACUCAUGAGUCCUUCUAGUAAGGGUCCCAGGACUGAGCCUCAAUGGCCUGAAGAGAGUCAUGUGCCCACACCUGUGACUACUUAGUGGCUAUCACCAGGGGUGUGAGGCUCAUCUGGUCUAGCCUGGUCACCUGCUCACGACAGAGCUAGAGCUGGACCAGGCCCUCCAGAUUUGUAGACUGAAGCAGCAAGGUGCUGUUCUGAGGAAAAUCAGGGUGCUGUUACCAGAACACCCUGGCAAGCAAGAAAGAGCAGCGAGCCCUACAGACGGCAAACAAGGAUUUCCUUAUCUCCUGGUCGGAACCACUAAGAACCGUGGAACCAUGUGUACUUAAUUCAUGUCUGUACUGUCCUCACGCGGAGUGAGGGCUUUGUAAAUAUUUGCUGAGUGAAUGAAAGAAUAAAUGAAUAGUAAAUGAAUGAAUGAACCUCCCGAGUGAUAAAGGCAGUCUUUACGGUGGGCACGAGGCAGGGACUACUGUGCGCAGGGAACGGCCGCGGGCUCCACACUUGCUGUGAUUGGCCGGCGAGACAAUCUCGGGUGCCCAGGCUGUUUGGACAGCACGCAGGCCCACAGCAGGCAGGAUGGCACCCCUGCCAAGGGCACUUGGGCUUGAAGUUAGAGCAGGGAGGCUGGCGUGCUGGUGGCAGGGCUGAGGCUCAGGGUGCAGCUCAGUGUGAAAUGAGGGCUGCUCUUCUCAGACCUGUCAGCCUUGGCCAGCGGCCCUCGUCCUAGGGAAACUUUGGAGGCAACAGAUGGAUCUGGAGUGACAGGAGAGAGCCCCUGGCCAUGCUAAUUUCCCUCACUCUGCGGAGGCUGAGCUGGCGCAGAUCAGAAUGGAGAACCGAUAGGCAUUUCUGCCGGGAUAGGGGUGGUUGCAGAAGGCCCGUAGAACAUCCGGGAGUGAGGAUGGGGCAGCAUCUCUAUGUACCCUGGAGGCGGGCCUCAGCCUGGCUGGUGUCCCCUUGCUUUCCUUAGUCCAGCCCUCCAGG
Molecule: long non-coding RNA, 3426 nt
Filed under: Homo sapiens (human)
Lineage: Eukaryota; Metazoa; Chordata; Mammalia; Primates; Hominidae
Description: HSALNT0269746
Source: RNAcentral